Molecule: ribosomal RNA, 429 nt
Filed under: Gemmatimonadota bacterium
Lineage: Bacteria; Pseudomonadati; Gemmatimonadota
Description: Gemmatimonadetes bacterium partial 16S ribosomal RNA
Rfam family: Bacterial small subunit ribosomal RNA
Source: RNAcentral
UAGGGAAUCUUCGGCAAUGGACGAAAGUCUGACCGAGCAACGCCGCGUGAGUGAAGAAGGUUUUCGGAUCGUAAAACUCUGUUGUUAGAGAAGAACAAGGACGUUAGUAACUGAACGUCCCCUGACGGUAUCUAACCAGAAAGCCACGGCUAACUACGUGCCAGCAGCCGCGGUAAUACGUAGGUGGCAAGCGUUGUCCGGAUUUAUUGGGCAUAAAGCGAGCGCAGGCGGUUUCUUAAGUCUGAUGUGAAAGCCCCCGGCUCAACCGGGGAGGGUCAUUGGAAACUGGGAGACUUGAGUGCAGAAGAGGAGAGUGGAAUUCCAUGUGUAGCGGUGAAAUGCGUAGGUAUAUGGAGGAACACCAGUGGCGAAGGCGGCUCUCUGGUCUGUAACUGACGCUGAGGCUCGAAAGCGUGGGGAGCAAACAGG